RNAcentral lists this unclassified non-coding RNA (253 nucleotides) under uncultured Euzebyales bacterium. Its description in RNAcentral is "contains 16S-23S intergenic spacer region". It matches the Rfam family "Bacterial small subunit ribosomal RNA", at positions 524 to 776 of the family's 1533-position model. The record is from RNAcentral. Lineage: Bacteria; Bacillati; Actinomycetota; Nitriliruptoria; Euzebyales.
UACGUAGGGGGCAAGCGUUGUCCGGAAUUAUUGGGCGUAAAGAGCUCGUAGGCGGUCCAGUAAGUCGGAUGUGAAAUCUCAGGGCUCAACCCUGAAACUGCAUCCGAUACUGCUGGACUUGAGGCAGGUAGGGGAAGGUGGAAUUCCUGGUGUAGCGGUGAAAUGCGCAGAUAUCAGGAGGAACACCGGUGGCGAAGGCGGCCUUCUGGGCCUGUUCUGACGCUGAGGAGCGAAAGCGUGGGGAGCAAACAGG